UGCUAUGCAUUUUCACAGCCUGAACAGGGGCACAGAGGUCAGAGAUUGCAGAGUUUUUUCCAGGGGCAGAAAGAAAUGCUCAGUUAGUGUGGAAGGGAAGGAUAGGAUGAUAACAGGUUGAAGAGGGUCUUGGAUGCUAGGAAGAGGAGUUGUAACUAUUUUUUUUUUAGUGAGGCAAUUGGGGUUAAGUGGCUUGCCCGGGGUCACACAGCUAUUAAGUGUCAAGUGUCUGAGGCCAGAUUUGAACUCAGGUCCUCCUGAAUCCAGGGCCGGUGCUUUAUACACUGCACUACCUAGCUGCCCCUAGUUGUAACUAUUCUGAAGACAAUAGGGAGUUACUGAAAAUUUCUGAGCUGGGAGACAGAUCAGAUCUACCACAACAAGAUUAUUCUGGCAUCCAUAUGAAGAAUGAGCUGACUUCAUGCAAACACUUCUGAAGUGGGUCAAGCCUGAGGAGAAUAUUUUAGGAUGACUGACAGCAAAUUACAAGAAUCAAUACUGCAGAUGACAAAAACAUUCAUCAAAGCUGCCAGAUCCAGUAAGUCCAAGUGAAUUCCCUCACCACACCAAAGUCCUGGACCGAAAGGCGGGGGGAGGCUCCUGUUCUGUCUCUGCUGCCACUGCUUAGUUCUGGAUGAAAUAAAGAGGAAGAUCCAGAAAGCCAGCCUCACCUUCCUACUUCCUGUCUCCCUCCUUCAAGCUGAUUGGUUGAGAGUGGUCUCUUGCUGAUGUCUGAGAACAACACCCCAUUCAAGGAGAGCCAGGUGGAGAACUCCAGAAGCUUCUGCUGCCACUGCUGCUACUGCCUCCAAGGCCCACCACUGGUGUUCCUGAUGAGCUCUGGGCUGGCUCCCACCCCCCAUUUCAAGGACCUCUUUUGCUGACGUCCUAAGUUGUCAUAAGCUAGAAAAAUGUCACACUGAUAUCUGCUACUUCAAAAUUUGCUUUGAGGAGUUAUUUUAAAGUUGUUUGGAAGGAAAUGUUGGGAGAGUUAAUCUGGGUUGCUGCCUGUACUAUGCCAUCUUGUACCCCAUCCCAUGUGAAUUUCUUAUGUGUAGUUUAUUUAUUUUUUUAAAAAGAUGUGUUAAAUUUAAUGCGGUCAUAAUAAAAUUUGUUUCUUUGUUUGUUCCUGUGUGUGCAGGAAGAAAUAGGAGGGAGGAAAUCAAUAAGGGAAAAAUUAUUUUUACAAGUUUCUCUGAUAAUGGUCUAAUACCCAAGAUAAAAUAUAUAAAGAAUAGAUACAAAUAUAGAAGAACACGGUCCAUUCCCCAGUAGGUAAGUGGUCAGAGGAUAUAAAGAGCCUGUUUUCAAAUGAAGAAAUACAACUUGUCGGGGGCAGAUAGGUGGUGCAGUGGAUAAAGCACUGGCCCUGGAUUCAGGAAGACCUGAGUUCAAAUCCAGCUUCAGACACUUGACACUU
Dromiciops gliroides (monito del monte) is the source of this 1420-nucleotide long non-coding RNA. RefSeq lists it as uncharacterized. The record is from RefSeq and is a predicted model, not a curated record. Lineage: Eukaryota; Metazoa; Chordata; Mammalia; Microbiotheria; Microbiotheriidae. The transcript has 4 exons.